UACGGAGGGUGCAAGCGUUAUCCGGAUUCACUGGGUUUAAAGGGUGCGUAGGCGGACAGGUAAGUCAGUGGUGAAAUCUCCGAGCUUAACUCGGAAACUGCCGUUGAUACUAUCUGUCUUGAAUAUCAUGGAGGUAAGCAGAAUAUGUCAUGUAGCGGUGAAAUGCUUAGGUAUGACAUAGAAUACCGAUAGCGAAGGCAGCUUACUACAUGUUAAUUGACGCUGAGGCACGAAAGCGUGGGGAGCAAACAGG
This 253-nucleotide ribosomal RNA is filed under the name uncultured bacterium. RNAcentral describes it as "partial 16S ribosomal RNA". It matches the Rfam family "Bacterial small subunit ribosomal RNA", at positions 524 to 776 of the family's 1533-position model. The record is from RNAcentral.